RNAcentral lists this transfer RNA (96 nucleotides) under Actinoplanes utahensis. RNAcentral describes it as "tRNA-Thr". Lineage: Bacteria; Bacillati; Actinomycetota; Actinomycetes; Micromonosporales; Micromonosporaceae. The record is from RNAcentral.
CCCGGAGGUGGCCGAGAGGCCGCAGGAUCUGGUGGUGUACGGCGGGACCGGUCGCGCCGCCCGUGACUGGCCGUCGUUCCACGCGAUCGUCCGGGA